GCUUACGGCCACACCGCCUGGUUCACGCCUGAUCUCGGAAGCUAAGAUAGGUUGGGCCUGGUUAGUACUUGGAUGGGAGACCGCCUGGGGAUACCAGGUGCUGCAAGCU
Molecule: ribosomal RNA, 109 nt
Organism: Scophthalmus maximus (turbot)
Lineage: Eukaryota; Metazoa; Chordata; Actinopteri; Pleuronectiformes; Scophthalmidae
Source: Ensembl